AGCAUGGAGCAGGAGCAUCGGUCCAAAGCACUGUGGGCACAGAGAACACAAAUGGCCUCAACGAAGGAAGGGAACGUGGUGGUGAGCAGCUCGAGGAGCCUGCUCUGUGCCCACUGCCCUCUGACUUGGGCUUGAAGGCUGCAUUAAGGAGCAAAGCCGGGGCAGGGAGGAGGCUGCAGAGUGCCGACCUUGGGACCGUCUCACCCUCACCCCGCUCUGGGAUGUGCCGGGAGCGUGUUUUGCUCGUCUCUGCCGUCCUCCUACAUCAGGAACACUGCGUUCAGAUAAGGCUGCACCUUUCCCAUCCAGCAGACGGAGGCUGAGCAUCCAUCCCCCUGGAUUGCAUAACCGCAGUGGAGCCGAGCGGCUGCAGCCUUCUCCGCUAUUGGAUGUCAGCUAUUGUGGGCUCCUCUUGAUGAGGUUUUUGUUUGGCUUUUUUGUCAGCUGUGUCACACGGUUCGGGCUAUAGGCGCUCUGAAAUUGUCCUUUUCCUACACGCAGCUGAUGGGAGACAAGGAAACAAAUCAGUUCUUUUUAAAUUUCAUUUCCCCCGGCUUGUCCUGCUUGUUCCCUGCUGUAAUUGGCCUUCCCUGCUGUAAGCGCUUUUCUGGUUAGUUGUCAAGGAAACGUUUUAGCAGGGCACAUCCUGGCUCAGCUACCCGCAUCCCGAAGGGCUGAUGCUGUCCUGCACCUGCAUCCAGGGAGCAGAGCCAGGCAGGGAGGCGUUGAUCCCCCACAGCAUCCCCACCCAGUGCCCUGGCCUGGCUGAGCAGAUGAGUGCGAGGCAGGGUGAAUUUCUGCUUUAAAACUUGCAGCAGAAAAGCAGGCUGAUGGAUGCCUUCGAUGCAGAAACACCUCUCCAUGGCAGUCCCAUGUGCUGGUGAUGGUGUGCAGGGCUGGGUGUGGGUCUGGUGCCCAGUGAGGGAUGGAGCAUGCUGUCCCUGUGCAGUGCCCCAGAGCCCCGUCCUGCCUUGCAGUACAUGGACCACUUUCCCUUAGCUCAUAUAACCACGCUGUUCUGUCCCCAACAAGUUUAUGCUCAAGUGAACAGGGCAAAGGGGUGGGAAGGGAGAGCAGGGUGUGGUGUUGGCAUGGCAGAGAGCACAGUGCCGGUGCCAUCAGCCUUCCCUGAGUGGAGGCUGUGCGGGGUUAUGGGGAUUGCUGACUGCCAGCUUUCAUCGGGGUGUCAGGUGGUGUGGAACCAGCACAGGUUCUUGUAGGUGGUCCUGGAAAUCGUUCCUCUGCCCAGAGGUGCUGCAUCAAAGUGGGAAAAGAUCUCAGCACUCCACUGAGCGUUGUGGCUGUCUUGGUGCCUCUCAUCCCAAUCCAAUGUUGUUGUUCAAAGGGGAGAAAGUGUACAUAGUGAUCAGAAGUAGGUCAUCGUGGCUGGGAAGGGCAGGGUGUAAGGAGCUGCCUUCUCAGGGUGGCUGCAGCACGUCCUGUCCCGGCUCCUCCCAGCCCAUUGCUUCAGGCCACUCAGUGCCAUAUGCUGCACUUGGGCUGUGAGAAGUUUGGGGGCUGCUUCCCGUGUGUGCCAAUCUGGGCACUGCUCCUGGCCAAGGCUCGUUUCCUGGCAUCUUCUCCCAGUUGCUGUUCUGUUGCCUUCGUUUCAUUUUCUCGGCAUGGCCCUCACAGAGAGCAGCAGCUGUCUCUCUGGAUGGACACGUUGCACUUCCAGCCUUUCUCUCCAUGUUUCUCCCACCACACAUCUGCUCCCCGUGCACAGCCCUUGCCUUUCCCAGCUCAUGCCCUAAAGCAGACGGCGCGGGGCAGCCCGAGCAGACAGCAGAUCCCCGUGCUGUGCUCACAGCCUUCACCUCCUCCAGUCCAAAGGGUUUGCUCAUGCUGUCUCUGUCGUCACUGAACAGCAGCAAAACGCCAUCCAGACGUCUGUUUGUAUACCGUGUAUUUUAGUUGCAGUCACAGCACAUAUCUCCUGGUAAACACUGCAAUGCAGCA
Molecule: long non-coding RNA, 1959 nt
Filed under: Gallus gallus (chicken)
Lineage: Eukaryota; Metazoa; Chordata; Aves; Galliformes; Phasianidae
Description: long non-coding RNA NONGGAT005592
Source: RNAcentral